GAUGAACGCUGGCGGCGUGCCUAAUACAUGCAAGUCGAGCGAACGGACGCGAAGCUUGCUUUUCUGAUGUUAGCGGCGGACGGGUGAGUAACACGUGGAUAACCUACCUAUAAGACUGGGAUAACUUCGGGAAACCGGAGCUAAUACCGGAUAAUAUUUUGAACCGCAUGGUUCAAAAGUGAAAGACGGUCUUGCUGUCACUUAUAGAUGGAUCCGAGCUGCAUUAGCUAGUUGGUGAGGUAACGGCUUACCACGGCAACGAUGCAUAGCCGACCUCAGAGCGUGAUCGGCCACACUGGAAGUGAGACACGGUCCAGACUCCUACGGGAGGCAGCAGUAGGGAAUCUUCCGCAAUGGGCGAAAGCCUGACGGAGCAACGCCGCGUGAGUGAUGAAGGUCUUCGGAUCGUAAAACUCUGUUAUUAGGGAAGAACAUAUGUGUAAGUAACUGUGCACAUCUUGACGGUACCUAAUCAGAAAGCCACGGCUAACUACGUG
This 497-nucleotide ribosomal RNA is filed under the name uncultured bacterium. RNAcentral describes it as "partial 16S ribosomal RNA". It matches the Rfam family "Bacterial small subunit ribosomal RNA", at positions 28 to 507 of the family's 1533-position model. The record is from RNAcentral.